Molecule: long non-coding RNA, 1030 nt
Organism: Herpailurus yagouaroundi (jaguarundi)
Lineage: Eukaryota; Metazoa; Chordata; Mammalia; Carnivora; Felidae
Exons: 2
Source: RefSeq, a predicted model, not a curated record
UGAGUCCAACACAGGAUGGGUAAAAUCACCAGAGCCACUUUAUUGCAUUUUCCACAAGAAAGCCUAAUGGCUACACUAAGGGAAGUAAACUUCCAUCUGCCAACAUAAUUAUUCAGAGCUUUCUCUUGUCCCGGUGUGGUCAUCCUGGGAAUGCCUGUCAUCCCGAGAUAAAGACAGCAAAAAGUGAAUGUGACAAAAAGUGAACUGGGAGGAAGAGUUGGAGGUUUCAAGUCAUGGGGAGAGAUUUUUCAGCAAGGGAAGGGAUAAAGAGUGAAAGGCAAAACUGCCUCAAAAUGGCAGAGGAGAACUGAAUCAGGGAAGAAAAGAGCCAAAACUCAACAGAGAACGGGAAGCGAAGGGUUGGGAGAUAUGCAGGGAGGUGCUGCAGAUUCUAAACUAGGAGUUGGGCUCAGAAGCCACUUGGUUUGGCUCUGCCGUCCGACACCUCCCACGGCCACGUCCCAGCUGCAGAGCCAAGAGCUGUCUUAGGGAUUUAGCUCAGGGCUCUCUCCUGCUGUCCCAGAACUGCUGCACUGCUGGGUUUCACUAUCUCAGUCUCAGCAUUGCAACUUGGUUUUCCUUUCCUCCAGGGACAGGGAUGUUCCAAAGCCCCACACUGCCCCUGUUCUGCUAGUUGAGGGAGGGGCUGGGAUGGGGCUGACUUCUCCAGCUCAGCAUUGGACAUUUCUGCUGUUUGUCCCUGCCACUCACUCCUUUAUUUCUGCGUGUACACCACAACUUAGAAGGCUGAAUUCUGAAGGUGGGAUGGAGAACCGUAGCCUAUUUAAAAAACAACAGGUUAAUAAUAUGUACUACAGGCAACAUAUAUGUUUAUAAUUCUCUAUGUUGAUACAGAAAGUUAGCCUGUUUCUGGUUUUUCAUUACUUGCUAUAUGCCCCCAUUGCCCUUCAUUGAUUGCCCCUGUAAACUCAAAAAGACAGGACGCUAGAAUAGAAGGUGGGUUUUUUUUUUUUUUUUUACCCUCUGGAAUUAAAAAUCAAACAGGAUUCAAUUUCAGAACAACAGAAAA